GUGGGGAAUAUUGGACAAUGGGCGAAAGCCUGAUCCAGCCAUGCCGCGUGUGUGAAGAAGGUCUUCGGAUUGUAAAGCACUUUAAGUUGGGAGGAAGGGCAGUAAGUUAAUACCUUGCUGUUUUGACGUUACCAACAGAAUAAGCACCGGCUAACUUCGUGCCAGCAGCCGCGGUAAUACGAAGGGUGCAAGCGUUAAUCGGAAUUACUGGGCGUAAAGCGCGCGUAGGUGGUUCAGCAAGUUGAAGGUGAAAUCCCCGGGCUCAACCUGGGAACUGCCUCCAAAACUAAUGAGCUAGAGUACGGUAGAGGGUAGUGGAAUUUCCUGUGUAGCGGUGAAAUGCGUAGAUAUAGGAAGGAACACCAGUGGCGAAGGCGACUACCUGGACUGAUACUGACACUGAGGUGCGAAAGCGUGGGGAGCAAACAGGAUUAGAAACCCGGGUAGUCC
This 450-nucleotide ribosomal RNA is filed under the name uncultured bacterium. Its description in RNAcentral is "partial 16S ribosomal RNA". It matches the Rfam family "Bacterial small subunit ribosomal RNA", at positions 354 to 796 of the family's 1533-position model. The record is from RNAcentral.